UCCUCCCGGCACCCAGGAGCAUCUUUCAAAAAUUCCCGGUGGGCGGGGCCGAGCCGCAGCGGCCGCCUCUGGCCCCCCCUCCCCGGGCAGCCGGUGCCAGAUGAGAGCAGGAGACAAAAGUAGCAUUUUCCUCGUCCUCCUGGGCUGGCGGCAGAGCCUCCCCCAGCACCACUUGGCUCCUGGCGGCCCUGCCUCCGGGUGCCGGGGUGGCCGAGGCCCAGGCCGCGCCGGCCGGGACCGAGGGACCGACGGACGAGGGUGGCCAGAGAGCAGGACGCGUGGGGGCCCGUCGGAUCCGGGGCUGGCACCCGGGGCCGGCCUCCCGGUCGGCGGGGCCCGCCCUCCCCCUCCUGCCACCGUGCCCGGCCGGCCCAGGGGGCACCAGUUCCACUCCCUUGCUUCUGAGCAAGCUCCCCGUCCUCCUGCACCUUGGGUAAGUCACCUUCUUCCCUUCUCUUUUGCUGGAGACGAGCCGAGGGCUCUGCCAUCUUGUGCUCGGUGCCUGUUACGUUUCCUUCCCUCUAAUUGGUUAUCCGAAAUUCAAAAUUCUAUUUCCGACCCCCACCCCCCCCCCUCCACCCAACCGGUCUUCGGUGAAGUAAGCCUUUCUGAAACCUGCAGGGAAAAUGCAGAAGCCGGGCCCAUUUAUUUUUAAGAUCCAAAGCUAUAGGCUUUGGGAAUCACAAUAAAAAUGAAUGUUUGUUAGUUUACAGUAGCCGCGUGCUCGAUUGUAAUUGGAACGAAUGUUUCAGGAGGCAUUAAUAGGCACGGCCUACUCGUUCAUGCUCAGUGGGGUCGGUUCGUCGUGGGGGUCUCCUUACUAGUACUGUUAUUAUGAUUGUCUCGGUUUUUGGUGGUGCCAGGAGUGGCCGAGAGAAAAAACACCAAAGCGCCCUCGCUCCUCCCUGCAAACUCCUCGGCAGGCAGGGCUGGGCUGGCAUACGGGAGGGUGGGUUCUGCAUUGAGAAACAGAGGCCCUUUUAUUUUAUCCGGCAUCUUCAAUGCUGCCAUGUCCACAGUUUAGGGAUCCUGUUUUUUUUCUCCCUUUCGUUUCGUUUUAUUUCGGGUGAGGAGGGGAAGAAAAAGAAGGCCCUUUUCGGCCCUCAGCUCAGCAUGGGGAAAAUCUUUUAGGCUGGUUGGUGCUUUGUUUUUUAAACACUUAUUUAAGCCCGGGGAUUCCGCCUCACGGCGCUGCGCCCAGCUCAUGACCGCCCUGCCCACAGACGGUGCGUGGGGUGCACGUGGGCACGUCCACCAGACGGACCCUCGGGGGGCCUGAGUUGUCCAGGGCCGGCCUGGGCCGGAUCCCAUCCUGGUUUCCCAUCUGCAGAGCUGUAGGCCGAGCCACUCGACUGUCCGGGGCCUGAACCGUGGCCAGCGGGGGUGGGAGUCUCUGGAAGACCUUUGCGUCCCCAGGCCACGCUGCCGCCACGGUCCAAGAGCUGAACUCCGUGCUUGCCCGAGUUCCUGUGAUGGUCCCCGACCCUUCAGAACUGCUGAACCUUUUCAUUUAAAACGUGGGCUUUGCAGAGUUCAGCUGCGAAUCACCUCCAUCCUCUGGCAGGCUGACAGAAGUGCCCACAGAUGCAGCCUGGGUUCCCUCCCACCCCCCCCCCCAACGUUUGGGGGUAGCUGGGGUCUUGAUUUAUGGAAAAUGGAAAAUCAGGCCCAGAAAGUUCUAAAUUGCAACUGAGAAGAAACUUCCCACGUAAAUACAUCUUUGUUUUCCUAAUUCGGAGGCGUUGGGCCCUGUUUGCGUGGGUCUGAGCAGCCGGCCGGGGCAGACACGACCACGUAUAAAAGUGAGCUGAGCUCACACAAGGACUAUUACAGCUGCUUUUGUUCUUAGAUUAGACAGCAGUCGAUACGGGAGGUUUGGGGCUGUAGAGACAGGCGUAUAUAGCAGAGAUCAUUAAAACAUUUCCACGAUUGUGAGCGUAGAACGCGACGUUCUGCUGCUACAAGCCGGAGGGUCAUUCCACACGAAUAUUUAGCAAGCACCAAAUUAGACACCGGCGACAAAAUACGAGUCAUAGGAAAAAACCAGAGUGUCAUAAAUUCUGACGCGAAAGAGUCGAGAGUGGAGAGAGGUGGGUCGGGGGGAAGGAGGGGCCGUCGUUUUUAAAGAAUUUAUGCUUUUGAUAGUUGCCCACGCCUCAUCUCCCAAAAUUUUAUUUUUUGGUGUAAUCAGUGUAGGUAAAUAGGCCUGGAAUCCCAAGUCCUGGAAUGACAGUCUGAUUUCCUUGAACAUGACUUCAUCUCCUUUUUGGAAGUAAGGGCAAGUAGCAUAAAAUCAAUUAAUUUCCGCAGAUGAGCAUUUUCAUCCUGAGUUAGUAUUUUCCACCGAGAUUCUGUUCACCUAAAGGUUGUCACGUAUACGCAUAACACGUUUUCCAGCAGAGUGGGGUGGUUAUGCGUAAUCGGUGACCAUCUUUGUUUUUUCAACUUGGGUAAUAACAUUCUGCCUCCUCCCCCCAUCCCCAAGUCAGGAAAAUGCCAUGGAAUCUUUUGUGUCCUGAAUCAGGCAAAAUAUCAGCCUUCUUCACAGCACCCAUUUCUUCUUGGCUGUUUUUUUUUUUGUUGUUGUUGUUUUUUGUGUUUUUUUUUUUUGUGUUUUUUUUUUUUUUUUCCUUUGGGAAAGUACCACACAGAGCAGUCAGUGUUCCUAUCAUCGCUUCUAUAUAAAUUCCACUAUAGGCUGAAAUUAUACAUUCUCACAACACAGAUGGGCUGGUCUGUCAUUACGACUGCUGGGUCCUUGUUGGAACACACAGCAUAUUUCAAUUGUGGAGUCGACAAUUUCAAAGAACUGAGGUCAAAAUAAACAAGUUGCACUUGUGUGGUGAAACGGUGCCCUGAGCAAUUCGGUAGAGGAAACACCCGCACCGUCAUUAGAUGAUAAUUUAAAUUUUGGUCUUUGUCUUUGCCUUUUAAGACUCCGAAUGCCCUACGUUAACGGACCUUAAGUGCUUUAAUUAAUUACCAAUUUUUAUUUUGUGUGGCAGCGUGAACAGGGUUAACGCUAGAUUAAAAUUCAAAAUUACGGGGUUUGGGACUUUAGAUUUUGAGAUCUUCAUGAAAUCUCUAGCUGUUCUGUAUAGGCUGACAUAAAUUUAUUUGGGGAUGUUUAUGAAAAAUCACAUAAUAAAUAUUUUGCCUGGUUUAAAGUUACAUUUAAAUCCCUCCCCACCCCCCAAAAAACAUUCAACAGGUGAACUGCAAAGAGUAGCUGUAAACUCGAAAAAAAAAAAAAAUAAUAAUAAUCUCACCAAGAUAACGAGGUGCAGAAUUCAUUGGCCAUCAGCGCACGUGAGGACAGAGAAGUUUUACGGCCACCGUAAUUUGAAAACGGUGACUGUUUAUUUUGUGAAUUUGCUCACGUUAUGAUGUAAUCGGUUCUGAGGGUUCUUCCCCACGCCCCCCGCCCCCGCCUCAUUUUCCAGUGACUGCUUCUGCUUUUUCCGAAUUUUGGGUUCAGGCUCUGCCCUUCCCAGCCGCUGAGGCCGCCCUCCCUCGCUGCCGAACCUGAACGAGAGAGACACGGGUGCUUCCUUCCGCCGUCUUCUGCGGGCUCCCCGAGGCUCCUUCCAUUCGUUAAUAGAAGUGCUUUGUUGUGGCUUGUUUAUUUCAAGGAAAAGUACCUGUUGGUGGAGGUGUUGGGAAAUAACAGGAAGAGUGAAAAGCGGAUGAAAUUUGCCGGAGCUCCUUGGGAGCCGCUUCCUCUAGCGAUUCUGCUCCCACCCCUUCCUGCGUUCCCGUUUGGUCUUUUAGCCUGUCCACCCCUGUGCCCGCAUCAGACCCGUAUUUGCCAGCAGCUCCGAGAACGUGGCUGACGCUGCCCUGGGUGCUCUUAAAGGUCGGCAAGGCAGAGCAGCCCCUGCCCUGCGAUUCAACGGCAGAGAAGCGAGGGUGAUGGUGGUUGUACUGGGAGCAGUGCGCGUCCGGGGCGCCCGCACCACGCUGGGCACCUUUCCCGUUCGAGAAAGCAGAGUACAGAGGAGCGUGAGCUCUGGGCCUGAGGCUGGGGCUCAGACCCAGUCGGUUUCGUUUCCCGGCUGUGUUGAUCCAAGGCAAGACAUUUCGUCUCUCCGUGGCCCCGUUUCGUCUCUCCGUGGCCCCGUUUCCUCCUCUGAAAAAUGGGCGCAGUAAAGUGUCCCCGCCUCGGAGGAACACGCACAGUGCACGCUUAGCACGGCGCUCGGCUCACAGAGAGCACCCCAUACCUGCUGGCAGUCCUUGGUUUAUUUCUGAGUCUCAGAAAUGCCUGCCGGGUGGGGGUUCUCACCGGCUCCAUUCAGCCAGGGGAGGCGCUGGGCCCGAAGCGGAGCCCUCGCGUUCAACUAGCCGGUGAAGAUUGGGAUGGGGUUCCACCCAGGCCCGCCGUCCUCCAAAGCCCAUGUUCGUUCUGCAGGUCCCCACGGUGGUCAGGUGGGGACCGCAAGCCUUUGCCGGUGUGUGCAGGUAACACACACACACGUGUCCUGUGCACGUGACGCACGUGCGCACACGUGUCCUGCCAUGCAACCCACGUGCCUGCACGUGUCCUGUGUGUAACGCACAAGCACACGGCGUCCGGUGCACGUAACACGUGUGUGCACACGCGUGUCCUGUGCCUGCAACACCAUGCACACGCGUGUCAUACGCAUGUAACGCACGCGCGCACACAUACACGGUCCUGUGCUUCUCUUGGUAUGUCGGUGGUUUCCGGAGGUGGGCUGGCCUUUGGAGGCACCGUGUCUCCUCGAGGCAGGCGCUCUUCGUGGCUUCUCAGUGAGCCAUGGAGCCCGUGGGCCACCCCCGGGGACACCUGCCAGGCGCUGCACUGCCCCACCGCGAUGGGUCAUUGUCCCCAGCCCGGGGCGCCCACCCGGCUCCCGGGAGGUGAAGGAAGGAAGCCCUUUGGCCGGGCUGGCUGCACUCUGGGACCUGGCCCGGCAGGGCACGGGCUCUUCCGAGGGACAGGCUGUUCCGGGCACCGGCCAUUUGCAGACUCCGAGGAGUGGAAGUGAGCCUCCCGGCCCGCGAGAGGAAAUGGCGGCACGGGCAGGCCCAGCACAGGAUCCGGGAAGGCGGCCGAGGGAGGGGAGAGGCCGGAAGGCCCAGGGGUGGGCCUGUUGGCGCGCUGGCGGCCCUCCCGAAAGAAAUGGCCGGCGGGGCUGGUCUUCCCUGGGCGGGUCUGCGUGUGUCCGUGUGUGUGCACCUGAGUGCGGGCUCGGGCCGCCCGGGGGCCACACCGAGAAGGUCUACGGGCCCAGCUGCCCCACGGGUACCGUGGUGGGGACUGGGGGGAUUUGAUGAGGCCGCCUGCGCGGCCUGCGCACCUCCGGACACAAGAGGCCUCGAGGAGGAUGAUUCUUACUGCAGGCCUUGGUUGUCUUUAAAGCGGAUGAGACCGCAUCAGACUCGGGAGACGGUCCGCGGUGGCAGGUGAGAGCCAAAAAGUUGCUUUGUAUUUCCCCUCUUUGGGGCCUCUUAGGUGGAGACCAGAGGCCUGGGUUCUCAGGUGAGCCAGCCUCAGUUUCCCCAUCUGUAAAGCAAGGGGACGAACCCUCCCCGCAGGUUGCCGGGGGCAUCCAGUGUGAUGAUGGCACCUGCCGUUUCUCCCCUUGAUGGGGAGCGGUGGCGGGUGGGCCCUGGGGAAAGGGCCCCCGGCCUCGGGGCCCCGCGCCCCGGGCCGGAUGGGAGACCCCAGAAGGGAGCAGCGGUGGGGGCCGCGGGGACUGGGCUGCUCCAGCGUGUGCGAGGGAGCCUCUGGCCCAGUUUCCUGGGAGCCCGGCCCUGCCCCGGGAUUCCUGCAGUGGGUGUGCCCACACUUCCGGCCCAGGCGUGGGCGGAGGGGUCCUGGAGGCAGACGCGGUUCCUGCUGUUCCCUCCCGCCACAGCCGCCUGGUCGGGCAGCUGCUUUCCGCUCAGCAGGACGAGGGCUCCCACCUGAGCCCGCCGUGGAGGGUCCAGGCAGGCGGCCCCCCGCCCGCCGGCCGUGCCCAGGCACAUGUGACGUGGCGGCGGCGGCCCGGGGCGGUGGCAGCGGGACGUAGGGGCUUCUGCGGGGUGGAGAAGGUGCCCUCCAGCUCGAGCCCUCGCGGUUGCGGUCACGCAAACAGGAAGGAGUCAUGGAAUUUGACCGGAGAUGGCUGUCGGAGAGCCAGCGGGAGCCCAUGGACCCAGGGCUCGGGAAGGCCUGGCAUGGCUGCGGACAGCCGGGGGCCUGGGCAGCUGUGCCCGUGGGCUCCCCCUGGCAUCUGCAGGGUGGCAGCGACCUGGCUGUGAAUGCGGCGAGCGGAGGCAUGAAACGUGCCCGUGACAGAAUCCAGAGGGCUCUGGAAAACUACCCGAGAGGCUUCCGGAGGUCAGAAAUGUGGGCAGAAAAUGAGAUCCAGAUUUAAAAAAAAAAAAAACAAAAACCUGGCUGGCUCAUCCCCCUGGGAGAGAGGCCUGGGAGAACACUGCUGCCUGCUGACUUUGAAAUGCUUGCCCAGGGCUGGUCCACGGCAGCACCCCCCAGCCCCAGCCUGACGUCCUGGUGAAGGUGCUGCCUUCCCCUCCACCUCUCAGGAGCCGGGAGUUUUACCGAAGAUGAUGGGGGACAACUUGAGGACUUUGGCCGGACCUGCCUCCUGCUGGGCCCUGCCACCGUCAUCUGGGGACGCUUUCCAGCUUACAAGCUUACGUACAAGGAGCAGAACCUCAGAAGCGACAGACCUUCGCAGCAGCUAGGAAUGAUUGGGGCAAAUUGCUUUCCUCCCCGGGCCUCAGUGUUCUCGUCUGUGAAAUGGGGAUAGGAACACAAACCUGCAGGCACAUGGGAAUUAGGCGAGAUUUGGGGUCGGCCUGGACGCACGGUGGAUGGCGACAUCAGAACCCCGCCCACCCCGGCAUCCUCACCACGAACGAAGCAGGCUGCACCUUCUAGAUUGCCACAUGCCCUGGGGAGGCUGACACCCGCCCAGCCUGGCCCCAGGGAAAGGUGUUUCGCAAGGUCGCCUGGAGCUGUUUCGCAAGGUCGCCGGUAUAGCUGGCCCUCUUCUUCGCGUUGGGCCUGCCUCCCCGGGGAAGCCCGAGGCCGCCUGGGUUUGCCAACAGAUCUUGGUGGCGGGAGAAGCAGCCGACACCGGGAAUGUCAUCACCGCAGCUCAGAGGAUGGGCCUGGUGGCGUUUUCAGCUUGCUUUCCUGGGCCGGAGUGACUCGGGUUGGAGCAACCGCACCCCAGUGGCCUCCACCCUUGUGCAUCCCAGCCCGCCCUCCCUCCGUGGAAGUAGGCCGCGAGAAGCAGGCUGUGGCGUGGCUGAGGUUGAUUUAGACAUGCGGGGAGACUGGGAUAAUGUAGGAAAUGAAGGAAAUUUCCCCAGGGAAAGGGGGAAGAGAAGAGAGAGGAGCUUAAGUGCCUCGAUAAUUAUAAAGCAUGGCGUGGUGAUUUAUGGCCA
This is a long non-coding RNA of Leopardus geoffroyi (Geoffroy's cat), 7425 nucleotides long. RefSeq lists it as uncharacterized. The record is from RefSeq and is a predicted model, not a curated record. NCBI's taxonomy places the organism in Eukaryota, Metazoa, Chordata, Mammalia, Carnivora, Felidae. The transcript is spliced from 2 exons.